AGAGUUUGAUCAUGGCUCAGAUUGAACGCUGGCGGCAGGCCUAACACAUGCAAGUCGAACGGUAACAGGAAGAAGCUUGCUUCUUUGCUGACGAGUGGCGGACGGGUGAGUAAUGUCUGGGAAACUGCCUGAUGGAGGGGGAUAACUACUGGAAACGGUAGCUAAUACCGCAUAACGUCGCAAGACCAAAGAGGGGGACCUUCGGGCCUCUUGCCAUCGGAUGUGCCCAGAUGGGAUUAGCUAGUAGGUGGGGUAACGGCUCACCUAGGCGACGAUCCCUAGCUGGUCUGAGAGGAUGACCAGCCACACUGGAACUGAGACACGGUCCAGACUCCUACGGGAGGCAGCAGUGGGGAAUAUUGCACAAUGGGCGCAAGCCUGAUGCAGCCAUGCCGCGUGUAUGAAGAAGGCCUUCGGGUUGUAAAGUACUUUCAGCGGGGAGGAAGGGAGUAAAGUUAAUACCUUUGCUCAUUGACGUUACCCGCAGAAGAAGCACCGGCUAACUCCGUGCCAGCAGCCACGGUAAUACGGAGGGUGCAAGCGUUAAUCGGAAUUACUGGGCGUAAAGCGCACGCAGGCGGUUUGUUAAGUCAGAUGUGAAAUCCCCGGGCUCAACCUGGGAACUGCAUCUGAUACUGGCAAGCUUGAGUCUCGUAGAGGGGGGUAGAAUUCCAGGUGUAGCGGUGAAAUGCGUAGAGAUCUGGAGGAAUACCGGUGGCGAAGGCGGCCCCCUGGACGAAGACUGACGCUCAGGUGCGAAAGCGUGGGGAGCAAACAGGAUUAGAUACCCUGGUAGUCCACGCCGUAAACGAUGUCGACUUGGAGGUUGUGCCCUUGAGGCGUGGCUUCCGGAGCUAACGCGUUAAGUCGACCGCCUGGGGAGUACGGCCGCAAGGUUAAAACUCAAAUGAAUUGACGGGGGCCCGCACAAGCGGUGGAGCAUGUGGUUUAAUUCGAUGCAACGCGAAGAACCUUACCUGGUCUUGACAUCCACGGAAGUUUUCAGAGAUGAGAAUGUGCCUUCGGGAACCGUGAGACAGGUGCUGCAUGGCUGUCGUCAGCUCGUGUUGUGAAAUGUUGGGUUAAGUCCCGCAACGAGCGCAACCCUUAUCCUUUGUUGCCAGCGGUCCGGCCGGGAACUCAAAGGAGACUGCCAGUGAUAAACUGGAGGAAGGUGGGGAUGACGUCAAGUCAUCAUGGCCCUUACGACCAGGGCUACACACGUGCUACAAUGGCGCAUACAAAGAGAAGCGACCUCGCGAGAGCAAGCGGACCUCAUAAAGUGCGUCGUAGUCCGGAUUGGAGUCAGCAACUCGACUCCAUGAAGUCGGAAUCGCUAGUAAUCGUGGAUCAGAAUGCCACGGUGAAUACGUUCCCGGGCCUUGUACACACCGCCCGUCACACCAUGGGAGUGGGUUGCAAAAGAAGUAGGUAGCUUAACCUUCGGGAGGGCGCUUACCACUUUGUGAUUCAUGACUGGGGUGAAGUCGGAACAAGGUA
Molecule: ribosomal RNA, 1500 nt
Filed under: metagenome
Description: bacterial SSU rRNA
Rfam family: Bacterial small subunit ribosomal RNA
Source: RNAcentral